This 95-nucleotide small nucleolar RNA is filed under the name Moschus moschiferus (Siberian musk deer). RNAcentral describes it as "Small nucleolar RNA SNORD116 (ENSMMSG00000015521.1)". It matches the Rfam family "Small nucleolar RNA SNORD116". Rfam says of the family: HBII-85 is a member of the C/D class of snoRNAs, which contain the C (UGAUGA) and D (CUGA) box motifs. HBII-85 is encoded in a tandemly repeated array with another C/D snoRNA, HBII-52, in the Prader-Willi syndrome (PWS) region of chromosome 15. Lineage: Eukaryota; Metazoa; Chordata; Mammalia; Artiodactyla; Moschidae. The record is from Rfam by way of RNAcentral.
GUAUCUAUUGACAACACUCUCAUUUGCAUUCCUUGGGAACAUCUGAACAAAAUGAGUCAGAAUUCACUACUGUUUCCUCACUGACAGUGAGUUCC